AGGAUAAUAGUUAAUUAUAACAUUUAAUUUGCAUUUAAAAAGUACUAUUAGUAGUUUAUCUU
RNAcentral lists this transfer RNA (62 nucleotides) under Brentidae sp. KM-2017. RNAcentral's name for it is "tRNA-Ala". Lineage: Eukaryota; Metazoa; Arthropoda; Insecta; Coleoptera; Brentidae. The record is from RNAcentral.